Ochotona princeps (American pika) is the source of this 62-nucleotide small nucleolar RNA. NCBI's taxonomy places the organism in Eukaryota, Metazoa, Chordata, Mammalia, Lagomorpha, Ochotonidae. The record is from Ensembl.
AGCCCGUGAUGGUGUAAGAGUAGUGGACAGAAGGGAUUUCUGAGAAGUGACGUUCUGAGGCU